GGGUUUUGAAGCGACUCUGGAAACAAAAUACAUUCUGCUGCAUCUGGAAAUAGUUAAUGCAAGCUGAACGAUUUUGCAGGAGUUAUACUAAGCAACUAUGAUCAUAUUGUCUUUCAGAGCAUGGAUUUGAACAAUUUUUCUGGCAAAGGUCUCCAAAACAGACAUUAAAGCAGCCCUGCAUGAUCAGCGACCAUCUGGAGUUGUCGAGGAAUGAAGCAAUACAGUAUUGCUAUGAAGAACCAUCACAGUUACUCUCAUCUUGGUGGCACCAUGCCCCAAGAACAGGAAUCCCUGUAUAUUUCUGGAAUCCAACAUUGAGAUGUAGCCCACUGCUAUUCUCUACAGCUUUGAAAUAAAUGAAGAUUCAUUUAAAA
Molecule: long non-coding RNA, 374 nt
Organism: Gallus gallus (chicken)
Lineage: Eukaryota; Metazoa; Chordata; Aves; Galliformes; Phasianidae
Exons: 2
Source: RefSeq, a predicted model, not a curated record